This 199-nucleotide microRNA precursor is filed under the name Oryza sativa Japonica Group (Japanese rice). RNAcentral describes it as "MIR812 microRNA precursor family". It matches the Rfam family "MIR812 microRNA precursor family". Lineage: Eukaryota; Viridiplantae; Streptophyta; Magnoliopsida; Poales; Poaceae. The record is from Rfam by way of RNAcentral.
AAAGAGUGCAGUUUUGUACUUUUCAUAUUCAAUGUUUGAUCGUCCGUCUUAUUUGAAGAUUUUUUAUGAUUAGUAUUUUUUAUAAUUAGAUGAUAAAACAUAAAUAAUAUUUAAUGUUUAACUAUUUUUUAAAAAUAAUAUAAUUUUUUAAAUUGACAGACGGUUAAAUGUUGAUAUAGAAGCAACGACUUCACUUGAA